This is a long non-coding RNA of Larimichthys crocea (large yellow croaker), 256 nucleotides long. RefSeq lists it as uncharacterized. Lineage: Eukaryota; Metazoa; Chordata; Actinopteri; Sciaenidae. The record is from RefSeq and is a predicted model, not a curated record. The transcript is spliced from 2 exons.
GCCAGGGGUACUUGGCCACAGCAGACUCUGUUUGAGCUGAGUGGAUGUGGGUUUGUUUCCCGGGCGUCCUGUAGCGGGAGCUGAUGAAAGAAGAGACUGUUAGCGGAGAGGAAGAAGCGGAAGAUGGCGGUUCAAAGGUUAAACUGGAACUGAUUCCGGUGGAGCUGGGGGUCACAGAGAGGGGGAGUGAGAGCGUACAUUCUUCAAAAUGUUGUUACGCGUGAGUACGAGAAGUUGUCUACCGUAAAUAUACCGU